This 424-nucleotide ribosomal RNA is filed under the name uncultured bacterium. Its description in RNAcentral is "bacterial SSU rRNA". It matches the Rfam family "Bacterial small subunit ribosomal RNA", at positions 355 to 796 of the family's 1533-position model. The record is from RNAcentral.
UAACGAAUCUUCCGCAAUGCACGAAAGUGUGACGGAGCGACGCCGCGUGGAGGACGAAGUUCUUCGGAAUGUAAACUCCUGUCAGAGGAAAGAAAGUUCUGAUCUACCUCAGAGGAAGAGGCGGCUAACUCUGUGCCAGCAGCCGCGGUAAUACAGAGGCCUCGAGCGUUAGGCGGAAUCACUGGGCUUAAAGCGUGUGUAGGCGGACUUCUAAGUACCUUGUGAAAUCCCACGGCUUACCCGUGGAACUGCUUGGUAUACUGGUUGUCUUGAGCCACCUAGGGGCGAGUGGAACAAAUGGUGGAGCGGUGAAAUGCGUAGAUAUCAUUUGGAACGCCAAUGGUGAAAACAACUCGCUGGGGGUGUGCUGACGCUGAGACACGAAAGCCAGGGGAGCGAACGGGAUUAGAUACCCCCGUAGUCC